This 335-nucleotide ribosomal RNA is filed under the name uncultured Bacillota bacterium. Its description in RNAcentral is "bacterial SSU rRNA". It matches the Rfam family "Bacterial small subunit ribosomal RNA", at positions 28 to 351 of the family's 1533-position model. The record is from RNAcentral. Lineage: Bacteria; Bacillati; Bacillota.
GACGAACGCUGGCGGCGUGCCUAAUACAUGCAAGUCGAGCGAACAGACGAGGUGCUUGCACCUCAGACGUUAGCGGCGAACGGGUGAGUAACACGUAAGGAACCUACCUAUAAGCGGGGGAUAACAUUCGGAAACGGGUGCUAAUACCGCAUAGUAAACUAGAUCACAUGAUCCAGUUUGGAAAGACGGCUUCGGCUGUCACUUAUAGAUGGCCUUGCGGUGUAUUAGCUAGUUGGUGGGGUAAUGGCCUACCAAGGCAAUGAUACAUAGCCGACCUGAGAGGGUGAUCGGCCACAUUGGGACUGAGACACGGCCCAAACUCCUACGGGAGGCUG